GACGAACGCUGGCGGCGUGCUUAACACAUGCAAGUCGAACGGAAAGGCCCUGCUUUUGUGGGGUGCUCGAGUGGCGAACGGGUGAGUAACACGUGAGUAACCUGCCCUUGACUUUGGGAUAACUUCAGGAACUGGGGCUAAUACCGGAUAGGAGCUCCUGCUGCAUGGUGGGGGUUGGAAAGUUUCGGCGGUUGGGGAUGGACUCGCGGCUUAUCAGCUUGUUGGUGGGGUAGUGGCUUACCAAGGCUUCGACGGGUAGCCGGCCUGAGAGGGUGACCGGCCACAUUGGGACUGAGAUACGGCCCAGACUCCUACGGGAGGCAGCAGUGGGGAAUAUUGCACAAUGGGCGGAAGCCUGAUGCAGCAACGCCGCGUGCGGGAUGACGGCCUUCGGGUUGUAAACCGCUUUCGCCUGUGACGAAGCGUGAGUGACGGUAAUGGGUAAAGAAGCACCGGCUAACUACGUG
This 467-nucleotide ribosomal RNA is filed under the name uncultured bacterium. Its description in RNAcentral is "partial 16S ribosomal RNA". It matches the Rfam family "Bacterial small subunit ribosomal RNA", at positions 28 to 507 of the family's 1533-position model. The record is from RNAcentral.